RNAcentral lists this ribosomal RNA (1694 nucleotides) under Enteromius thysi. RNAcentral's name for it is "16S ribosomal RNA". The stretch from base 93 to 1608 matches the Rfam family "Bacterial large subunit ribosomal RNA". The record is from RNAcentral. Lineage: Eukaryota; Metazoa; Chordata; Actinopteri; Cypriniformes; Cyprinidae.
GCCAAACAGCUAGCUUAAUUAUACUAUAACUUAACAAUAUAAAUAACACAAAAUAAACCAAACACUAAAAACUAAACCAUUCUUUUACCUUAGUAUGGGAGACAGAAAAGGUAUAUUUACAAAGCAAUAGAAAAAGUACCGCAAGGGAAAGCUGAAAGAGAAAUGAAACAACCCAUAUAAGCAUUAAAAAGCAAAGAUUAAACCUUGUACCUUUUGCAUCAUGAUUUAGCCAGUACACACAAGCAAAGAGAACUUUAGUUUGAAACCCCGAAACCAGAUGAGCUACCCCGAGACAGCCUAUUUAGGGCAAACCCGUCUCUGUGGCAAAAGAGUGGGAAGAACUCCGGGGUAGAAGUGACAGACCUACCGAAUCUGGUGAUAGCUGGUUGCCUAAGAAAUGAAUAGAAGUUCAGCCUCAUAUACCUUAGAUCAAAUAUUAAAUUAAGAUUUCAAAGAAAAACAUGAGAGUUAGUUAAAGGGGGUACAGCCCCUUUAACAAAGGACACAACCUUUUCAGGAGGAUAAAGAUCAUAAUAAUUAAAACACACUGUUCUAGUGGGCCUAAAAGCAGCCACCUAAAUAGAAAGCGUUAAAGCUCAGACAGAAAAAAAGUUUAUUAUACCGAUAACAAAUCUUACUCCCCUACUUAUUAUUAGGCCAAUCCAUAUGGACAUGGAAGAGAUUAUGCUAAAAUGAGUAACAAGAAGGCACGCCCUUCUCCCCAGCACAAGUGUAAACCAAAUCGGACCAACCAUUGGCAAUUAACGAACUCAACCAAAGAGAGUAAUGCGGAUUAUAAAAAGACCAAGAAAAUCCCACAACAAAACAUCGUUGACCCCACACUGGAGUGCCACUAAGGGAAAGACUAAAAGAAAAGGAAGGAACUCGGCAAACACAAGCCUCGCCUGUUUACCAAAAACAUCGCCUCCUGCAAUAUAAGUAAGUAUAAGAGGUCCAGCCUGCCCAGUGACCAUAAGUUCAACGGCCGCGGUAUUUUGACCGUGCAAAGGUAGCGCAAUCACUUGUCUUUUAAAUAAAGACCUGUAUGAAUGGUUAAACGAGGGCUUAACUGUCUCCUUUUUCAAGUCAGUGAAAUUGAUCUAUCCGUGCAGAAGCGGGUAUAAUAAUACAAGACGAGAAGACCCUUUGGAGCUUAAGGCGUAAAACUCAAUCACGUUAAACAACUCAAUAAAAAGUAAUUUCCACUAAACCUUGUGAUAGAUGAGACCACUGCCUUCGGUUGGGGCGACCACGGAGAAAAAUAAAACCUCCAAGUGGAAUGGGGAAAUACCCUAAAACCAAGAGAGACAUCUCUAAGAUACAAAACAUUUGACCAUAAAUGAUCCGGCUAACCAUGACCGAUCAACGAACCAAGUUACCCUAGGGAUAACAGCGCAAUCCUCUCCCAGAGUCCAUAUCGACGAGAGGGUUUACGACCUCGAUGUUGGAUCAGGACAUCCUAAUGGUGCAGCCGCUAUUAAGGGUUCGUUUGUUCAACGAUUAAAGUCCUACGUGAUCUGAGUUCAGACCGGAGCAAUCCAGGUCAGUUUCUAUCUGUAAUGCUACUUCUCCUAGUACGAAAGGACCGGAGAAAGGGGGCCCAUGCUUAAAGCACGCCCCACCCCUAAUUUAUGAAAACAAAUAAAUAUAGGUAAAGGGAGGGCCACAACCCAAACCAGCCAAAAUAAGGACAU